AACGAACGCUGGCGGCAGGCCUCAAACAUGCAAGUCUAGGGGGUGCAGCAAUGCAUCACCGGCGGACGGGUGCGUAACGCGUGGGAAUAUACCUUUUGGUUCGGAACAACUGCGGGAAACUGCAGCUAAUACCGAAUGUGCCCUAACGGGGAAAGAUUUAUCGCCAAAGGAUUAGCCCGCGUAGGAUUAGCUAGUUGGUGAGGUAAUGGCUCACCAAGGCUCCGAUCCUUAGCGUUCUGAGAGGAAGAUCAGCCACACUGGGACUGAGACACGGCCCAGACUCCUACGGGAGGCAGCAGUUGGGAAUCUUGGACAAUGGGCGCAAGCCUGAUCCAGCCAUGCCGCGUG
RNAcentral lists this ribosomal RNA (348 nucleotides) under uncultured bacterium. RNAcentral's name for it is "bacterial SSU rRNA". It matches the Rfam family "Bacterial small subunit ribosomal RNA", at positions 29 to 403 of the family's 1533-position model. The record is from RNAcentral.